GAAUGUAAUUGACUUUUUAAUUUACAUGUAUUAUUUUGAUGACAUUUGGUGUUGAAUGAUAUAAAAUAAACCAGGACCCUAAACUGGAUGAAAAUGAAUAUCGAACAAGCCCACAUGAAUUUACCGAUUUAUUUGAGAACCAAUUUCCAUCUAGUUUACAACACAAACUGUUAUUACUGUCAUUUUGAUACAAUAAGCUAUAAAAAUGGUUUGAAUAGGUUCCAAGAUAUAUAAAGUGAUGUGCAUGAUAAUUAAUGUAGCCUACAUAUUAAAAAUAGGUAAUUAUUGAAUUUUUAAUUUCUAUACAUUCAAUUCAUAUUUUUUUUAAUUCAAUACUUCCAACACAAAAAAAAAUCAGGAUUUCAA
This is a long non-coding RNA of Corythoichthys intestinalis (scribbled pipefish), 366 nucleotides long. RefSeq lists it as uncharacterized. The transcript is spliced from 2 exons. The record is from RefSeq and is a predicted model, not a curated record. NCBI's taxonomy places the organism in Eukaryota, Metazoa, Chordata, Actinopteri, Syngnathiformes, Syngnathidae.